Molecule: transfer RNA, 77 nt
Filed under: Thiobacillus sp.
Lineage: Bacteria; Pseudomonadati; Pseudomonadota; Betaproteobacteria; Nitrosomonadales; Thiobacillaceae
Also listed under: 6 other names
Description: tRNA-Pro
Rfam family: tRNA
About the family: Transfer RNA (tRNA) molecules are approximately 80 nucleotides in length. Their secondary structure includes four short double-helical elements and three loops (D, anti-codon, and T loops).
Source: RNAcentral
CGGGGUGUAGCGCAGUCUGGUAGCGCGCCUGCUUUGGGAGCAGGAUGUCGGAGGUUCGAAUCCUCUCACCCCGACCA